RNAcentral lists this transfer RNA (76 nucleotides) under Balneolaceae bacterium. Its description in RNAcentral is "tRNA-Glu". It matches the Rfam family "tRNA". Rfam says of the family: Transfer RNA (tRNA) molecules are approximately 80 nucleotides in length. Their secondary structure includes four short double-helical elements and three loops (D, anti-codon, and T loops). Lineage: Bacteria; Pseudomonadati; Balneolota; Balneolia; Balneolales; Balneolaceae. The record is from RNAcentral.
GCCGCGUUCGUCUAGAGGCCUAGGACGUCGCCCUUUCACGGCGGUAGCACGGGUUCGAAUCCCGUACGCGGUACAA